GUACAGUGCUAUUGGUUGUGGUUGUCAAGGUGAGGUGAAAUGGGGUUUUUAUUUUUUGGUAUGCUGUUCCGAAGUUUUUGAAUUCAUAUUAUUGCUUUCUAAUUGAGUCGUCUUAUUUUCGUUUCUAGUUGAAAAAUACAUGCAAGGAUAUCAGUGGCUUCUACAAGUUCUUUUGUAGUUCAUGGCAUUUGAUUCAUCUCGGAUAUCUCAACUUAGGAAACGAGAAAUCUUUCUGUUUGCUGCAUGUGUGGAUGAGUCGCAAACGUAUUUGGAUUGGGCAGCUACUAACCGAGCCGUCUCCCCUCCCCUUCCCCUCGGCGAAUCUAGAUUGACUAGGGAUGUAAAUGAAUCAAGCCG
This 357-nucleotide unclassified non-coding RNA is filed under the name Hevea brasiliensis (rubber tree). The record is from RNAcentral. Lineage: Eukaryota; Viridiplantae; Streptophyta; Magnoliopsida; Malpighiales; Euphorbiaceae.